GUGGGGAAUCUUCCGCAAUGGACGAAAGUCUGACGGAGCAACGCCGCGUGAGUGAAGAAGGUUUUCGGAUCGUAAAGCUCUUUCGUUGGGACGAACGUGCUCUUUGUGAAUAAUGAGGAGUAAUGACGGUACCUAAAUAAGAAGCCACGGCUAACUACGUGCCAGCAGCCGCGGUAAUACGUAGGUGGCAAGCGUUGUCCGGAAUUAUUGGGCGUAAAGCGUGCGCAGGCGGGAUAUCAAGUCUGUCUUAAAAGUGCGAGGCUCAACCUCGUGAGGGGACAGAAACUGGUAUUCUUGAGUGUCUGAGAGGAAAGUGGAAUUCCAAGUGUAGCGGUGAAAUGCGUAGAGAUUUGGAAGAACACCAGUGGCGAAGGCGACUUUCUGGACGAUGUCUGACGCUGAGGCGCGAAAGCUAGGGGAGCGAACGGGAUUAGAAACCCUGGUAGUCC
This 449-nucleotide ribosomal RNA is filed under the name uncultured bacterium. RNAcentral's name for it is "partial 16S ribosomal RNA". It matches the Rfam family "Bacterial small subunit ribosomal RNA", at positions 354 to 796 of the family's 1533-position model. The record is from RNAcentral.